Molecule: long non-coding RNA, 921 nt
Organism: Magnolia sinica
Lineage: Eukaryota; Viridiplantae; Streptophyta; Magnoliopsida; Magnoliales; Magnoliaceae
Exons: 3
Source: RefSeq, a predicted model, not a curated record
UUCAUGUAAUUUUCCAGAAAUAUUCUAUAGCAAUUAACAUGAGGGAAAGGAAAUGGCUUUCUUUUCUUGGGUAUGAGAUUUGAUGGGACCUUAGCAACACUCAACCAUCUGGAUGGCAGGUGUUCUUUAUUGAAGUUCUGUUGGUUGUAUUGUGCAAAAUGCAGUAUUCUUUAUUGACUAUUGGUUUUAUUGUGCAAAAUGUCAUUAUCGUUAUAUGCUUAUUGUUUGUUUAUUCUUAUAUCUUUUCUCAGAAUGUUGCCCUUAGGGAGAAAAUGACAGAGGUUGAAGAUAGUGAUUUAGAAGGCUGAUCUUUGGAUUCCUUUUCUUUUGUUUCAACAAGUGAUCAUCAAACAUCUCAAGGCAUGGAGCAGGAUCUAGUUAUGGUAUUUAUCUUUUUUUUUUUUCCUUCAACAAUUUAAGAAAUUGAUUCUAAUUAAGGUUUGUGUUUCUAAUAUUAGGUUCAUUUGCUUUGUGUUGCUUGCUCCUCCAAAGGGCCAUUGGCACAUGCUUUGCCUAACAUAACAUCGGAGCUUUACAACCUAGGAGUAAGUAUUGCAUGUUCAGUUGUGAUUACCCAUAUUCUUUCCAAGAUUUGCACUACAGCACAUUUAUUGCUAUUGGUAAAUUUUAUUAGAUACUUUCAAAAUGGGUCAGAGAUUUGGCUACGGAACCACCAUUGCUCUUUAACAAUUCUUUUGAGGAUGCUUUUCGGCAAUAUACGGUUUCUUCCCCAAUAUCUCAAUUUUGGAAAGCUAGUGCUGAUUUUGUUUGGGAGAAUAUUCUCUCUUCCGAGUUCCCGUUAUUUGAAUGACUUUGAGGAAAUCUCCACUGGUUCAUGGUGGCUUUGGUCAUGUUGUGUUGUGCAAAAAUAAACUAGAUGGGUGGCGAUAUGCGGUGAAGAAGAUUUGGCUGAAGGAUAAA